GGGCGAUUAGCUCAAUUGGGAGAGCGCCGCGUUCGCAAUGCGGAGGUUGUGGGUUCAAGUCCCAUAUCGUCCACCA
RNAcentral lists this transfer RNA (76 nucleotides) under Bryobacterales bacterium. Its description in RNAcentral is "tRNA-Ala". It matches the Rfam family "tRNA". From Rfam's summary of the family: Transfer RNA (tRNA) molecules are approximately 80 nucleotides in length. Their secondary structure includes four short double-helical elements and three loops (D, anti-codon, and T loops). Further hydrogen bonds mediate the characteristic L-shaped molecular structure. tRNAs have two regions of fundamental functional importance: the anti-codon, which is responsible for specific mRNA codon recognition, and the 3' end, to which the tRNAs corresponding amino acid is attached (by aminoacyl-tRNA synthetases). tRNAs cope with the degeneracy of the genetic code in two manners: having more than one tRNA (with a specific anti-codon) for a particular amino acid; and 'wobble' base-pairing, i.e. permitting non-standard base-pairing at the 3rd anti-codon position. Lineage: Bacteria; Pseudomonadati; Acidobacteriota; Terriglobia; Bryobacterales. RNAcentral also lists the same sequence under 2 other names. The record is from RNAcentral.